AGUGAACGCUGGCGGUAGGUCUAACACAUGCAAGUCGAACGGCAGCACAGUAAGAGCUUGCUCUUACGGGUGGCGAGUGGCGGACGGGUGAGGAAUACAUCGGAAUCUACUUUUUCGUGGGGGAUAACGUAGGGAAACUUACGCUAAUACCGCAUACGACCUACGGGUGAAAGCAGGGGAUCUUCGGACCUUGCGCGAUUGAAUGAGCCGAUGUCGGAUUAGCUAGUUGGCGGGGUAAAGGCCCACCAAGGCGACGAUCCGUAGCUGGUCUGAGAGGAUGAUCAGCCACACUGGAACUGAGACACGGUCCAGACUCCUACGGGAGGCAGCAGUGGGGAAUAUUGGACAAUGGGCGCAAGCCUGAUCCAGCCAUACCGCGUGGGUGAAGAAGGCCUUCGGGUUUUAAAGCCCUUUUGUUGGGAAAGAAAAGCAGCAGGUUAAUACCCCGCUGUUCUGACGGUACCCAAAGAAUAAGCACCGGCUAACUUCGUG
This 492-nucleotide ribosomal RNA is filed under the name uncultured bacterium. RNAcentral describes it as "partial 16S ribosomal RNA". It matches the Rfam family "Bacterial small subunit ribosomal RNA", at positions 29 to 507 of the family's 1533-position model. The record is from RNAcentral.